Helianthus annuus (common sunflower) is the source of this 1556-nucleotide long non-coding RNA. RefSeq lists it as uncharacterized. The record is from RefSeq and is a predicted model, not a curated record. The transcript is spliced from 5 exons. NCBI's taxonomy places the organism in Eukaryota, Viridiplantae, Streptophyta, Magnoliopsida, Asterales, Asteraceae.
GAUUUGAAAUAUAGCCGUCGCUUUCUCUCUGCACACUUUCCCUCUCCAGCUAAUAAAAACAACUUUAUCACAUUCAAAAUUCAAAUUCAUUCCCAGAUCUCCAAAACCAUAAACCCAAUCUGCCAUUCAAAUUGGGUUACGGCAUAACUCAUUCCUCCCCACGCUCCUCCUAAAUUCUGUCGCCCCUGAUAUCAAAACCCUAAUUCUUAAUUCGCUAUGGAGAAUGCCUAAUUCUGUAGUUAAUUUUAUGUCGCUUUGAUGUUUAUCGGAAAAAGAUCCCCCCAUACUGAAGGUGGCUAAUGUUUCAUAGAUAUAAUCGGAAGACUUGCAGAACGUGGUGAAAAGGGUGAUGAUUUGAUACAAGUCUUGAGGGAACUAACCUCUGCAUAAAGAAAAAUUACAGAUUUGCAGGUUGAACUUUAAGGUCACAAGGGAUGCCAUGCAUACAUUGCAGCUCGAAGACACACUUGGCUUGCAAGAAUUCUCUUGAAAUUAGCCCAGGAGCCAGAGGUAAGAUGGUUAGUAUCUCUUGAAAUUGUGCUAAUAACCAACAAAUAUCCAAACUAACUGAUAAUCUAAAAGCACGAAGCUCACGGGUAUAGCGCUGGAGGACCGGAAUAACUUUGAUAAUCUGGGUAGAGUGUAGGGGGUGGUUGUGCCUUUUUUAUGGCUUUGUUUUUUUUUUUUUUUUGUUGUUCCCUGAGGUGUAUGUUGGCCUCCAUUUAGUGGAAGCUACAAUGCCACUAUACUUCUAAGUGUGAUAAAAAUGAUGAGAAGUUUUUGUAUGUGUCAUCCUCCCUUUUUUGAGACAAUGGAUGAAGCGAGCCUUAAUCCAAAUACAUUUUGGAUUAAGGCUUAAUCCAAAUACAUUUUUGAGACAGUGGUGGUACUCGAGCAUAGAUGGUUUGCUUUGGUGGUGAACAAGCUUUUAUCAGUAAAAUGAUUCAAGGUAGUGCUAAACCUAAACAAUCAUUCAGGUACUAGGGAUAGUUUUAUCUUUUGUGUUAUUACUUUGUAGUAUACUUUUGUGUUUGUUAUAGGUGGUAUACAUCCAUGGUUUUAACAAAAUGAUUUGAAAUGUGAUGCAUCUAGCUGUCUGCUCUUCUAGAUUAGAAUAUUCUUAAAUUGAAAACUAUAAGAAAAUAUAUGUAAUAUUAUAAGAAAGUAUGUAUUAAAAAUUUGUGCGUGAACAAUGUUUUGUUCUGUCAACAUGUGUUUCGCAAGAAGCAAAGAAAGGGACCCAAAAUAAUUGCAAAUGAAGUUGGAGGGAGUUGAGGUGGUUCAUGACAUAGAUAGGCAAAAGAUACCAAUAUGUAUCGUGAUUUCAAUUGCUGGUUUGGUAAGGUCUGAUAAAAUGUUUGAAACUAAAGGUUAUAGUACUGUAGUAGUUAUCAUCCAUGGUGCCAUUAUACAUAUCCUAAAGGCUUUCUUUGAAAUGUGGAUGUACAUUCAAUUGUUUGAUAAAAUGUUUCUAAUUAACAAUUUGAAGUUUCUAACGAAUUUAAUAAUCAUUACAAAUUCAAAUUUUAGCUCUUAUAUUUUUCAAUAUUAUAUAC